RNAcentral lists this ribosomal RNA (553 nucleotides) under uncultured bacterium. RNAcentral describes it as "bacterial SSU rRNA". It matches the Rfam family "Bacterial small subunit ribosomal RNA", at positions 58 to 643 of the family's 1533-position model. The record is from RNAcentral.
CAAGUCGAACGAGAAAGUGGAGCAAUCCAUGAGUAAAGUGGCGACCGGGUGAGCAACACGUGACUAACCUACCCUCGAGUGUGGAAUAACCCCGGGAAACCGGGGCUAAUACCGCAUAACAUCGCGAGAUCAAAGGAGCAAUCCGCUUGAGGAGGGGGUCGCGGCUGAUUAGCUAGUUGGCGGGGUAACGGCCCACCAAGGCGAAGAUCGGUAUCCGGCCUGAGAGGGCGCACGGACACACUGGAACUGAAACACGGUCCAGACUCCUACGGGAGGCAGCAGUGGGGAAUUUUGCGCAAUGGGGGAAACCCUGACGCAGCAACGCCGCGUGGAGGAUGAAGCCCUUUGGGGCGUAAACUCCUUUCGACCAAGACGAUAAUGACGGUACUGGUGGAAGAAGCACCGGCUAACUCUGUGCCAGCAGCCGCGGUAAUACAGAGGGUGCAAGCGUUGUUCGGAAUUAUUGGGCGUAAAGGGCGCGUAGGCGGCGCGGUAAGUCACCUGUGAAAUCUCCAAGCUUAACUUGGAGCCUGCAGGCGAAACUGCCGUGCUG